GGGCCGCUGGUCUAGUGGUAUGAUUCUCGCUUAGGGUCUUAACUCUGAGUACUUGCUUGCGAGAGGUCCCGGGUUCAAUCCCCGGGUGGCCCC
This 93-nucleotide transfer RNA is filed under the name Collariella sp. IMI 366227. RNAcentral's name for it is "tRNA-Pro". Lineage: Eukaryota; Fungi; Ascomycota; Sordariomycetes; Sordariales; Chaetomiaceae. The record is from RNAcentral.